GGUUGUGCUUUAUUGGACUUGCUGGAUUCAUAAUCCGGGGGUCGGUGGUUCAAGUCCACCCAUCACCACCA
This 71-nucleotide transfer RNA is filed under the name Rhodocyclaceae bacterium. RNAcentral's name for it is "tRNA-Leu". Lineage: Bacteria; Pseudomonadati; Pseudomonadota; Betaproteobacteria; Rhodocyclales; Rhodocyclaceae. The record is from RNAcentral.